GACGAACGCUGGCGGCGUGCCUAACACAUGCAAGUCGAGCGGUUCAAGCAGCAAUGUUUGGAUAGCGGCGGACGGGUGAGUAACGCGUGGGCAACCUACCUUUCACUGGGGGAUAACACAGGGAAACUUGUGCUAAUACCGCAUAACAUCAUGAAGUGACAUCACUUUAUGAUCAAAGGAGCAAUCCGGUGAUAGAUGGGCCCGCGUCCGAUUAGCUAGUUGGUGAUGUAAUGGACCACCAAGGCGACGAUCGGUAGCCGAACUGAGAGGUUGAUCGGCCACAUUGGGACUGAGACACGGCCCAGACUCCUACGGGAGGCUG
This 322-nucleotide ribosomal RNA is filed under the name uncultured Bacillota bacterium. RNAcentral describes it as "bacterial SSU rRNA". It matches the Rfam family "Bacterial small subunit ribosomal RNA", at positions 28 to 351 of the family's 1533-position model. The record is from RNAcentral. Lineage: Bacteria; Bacillati; Bacillota.